Long non-coding RNA from Mirounga angustirostris (Northern elephant seal), 1560 nucleotides. RefSeq lists it as uncharacterized. The record is from RefSeq and is a predicted model, not a curated record. NCBI's taxonomy places the organism in Eukaryota, Metazoa, Chordata, Mammalia, Carnivora, Phocidae. The transcript is spliced from 3 exons.
GGGCCGGCCCUGCUCCCUCCCGCGCGCCUCACGCCCUGCCCGCCAGGCCCCAGGCCCAGGCUCGGCGGCCGCACUCACCGCCUCGCUCCGCGCCUGCGCCGCGCACCUCGGGGACCCGCCGACUGGGCGGGGAGGUGACGAGCCGAUCAGUGGCAGAAUCCUGGGAAGAAAAGGCAAAAGGAGGAAUCAGUGUUUCGGAUUCUUGAGUCACCUGCUCUGUGGGCUAUGGAGCAUCUAAAGUCAGCCCCACACAUCACUACUGCCCAGGAUCUGUGCUUUGGGAGUGGAUCUAGAAGAUGUGGCCCUGGAGAAGGACCAAGUUUAUAUCUUCAGAAUAUAAUAGCGCCGAGUUGGGUCACAGCUGCAGCAAAAUCAGCCCGGAACAGACACACAGGAUGUAAACAAAGUGGGAACGAAUUCCGUCCGUUUUCCAAAUUUGGAGUUUGGAGCUGAAGAGUGAGAUUGUGGGUGGAUGAUCUGUUUUGGAUUCUUCUGACUUCCUGGAUUCAUACUUCAGUGAGGUGAAAUUCAGCCCAGAAUGCUAAUGGCACCAGGACGGGAAAGCCCUCGGAUUGUGCCCUCACCCCUGAGUGCUCCCGUUCAGGUGGGUAAGAAGUUACAGAGCCCUCCCCCGGGGCCCAGGCUUCGGGUGGCCUGCGGGAUUUUCACUUCCUCUGCUCCUCUCACCUCACACUGCCAGUCUUGUGUUGUAGGGGAAAAUCAGCCACAUCCUCCUAUGGUUUUCAAGAAAUUAAGCUUCUGAGUUCACCUGACCUGCUUCAUUUUUGUUGAAAAGGAACAUAAAGGCAUUUAGCAAAUCCUUUUGUCCUCACAAAGCCUGGCUUUCCAAAUCUACUGUGUCCAUCCCAAAUCACAUAAUUGGAUGUCAGAGACUGAACACUGAGUCCUUCCUCAUGCCAUUCCUGUUGUAAAAAAGAAGAAGAAGAAGGUAGCGGGAGGGGAAGAAUGAAGCGGGGGAAAUCAGAGGGGUAGACAAACCAUGAGAGACGAUGGACUCUGAAAAACAAACUGAGGGUUCUAGAGGGGAGGGGGGUGGGAGGAUGGGUUUGCCUGGUGGUGGGUAUUGAGGAGGGCACAUUCUGCAUGGAGCACUGGGUGUUAUGCACAAACAAUGAAUCAUGGAACACUUCAUCUAAAACUAAUGAUGUAAUGUAUGGGGAUUAACAUAAGAAUAAAAAUAAAAAAACAAAAACCCUAUGCCUCUUGCUCUCUGCCGAGGCGCCCCGGAAUGCCUGUAGAGAGAUCACGCAGGUGAAGAAGCAAAAGAGGAGCUUCCAUUAUUGGGUUUUCAAAACGUUUCUUGUAAUAACAGAAUCCAUGUCAAGGCAAGGGGCUCAACAAAUCCUCGGCUUCUUAGAAGACAGAAAACAUUAAAUGAAGGAAAAGGAAAGAGACCCAGUACCGAGUGUCAGGACGCGAGAAUAUGGUUUUCCUUCAAAUUUCUCAGGCAGUUUGUGCUGUUGUGCUACCCCUGACCCCUUACCCGAAGCAUCUCAGUUACCUCACCCGAAAUGGAAGCAUAGCCGGGCGCAUACCAGG